RNAcentral lists this ribosomal RNA (236 nucleotides) under uncultured bacterium. RNAcentral's name for it is "partial 16S ribosomal RNA". It matches the Rfam family "Bacterial small subunit ribosomal RNA", at positions 102 to 334 of the family's 1533-position model. The record is from RNAcentral.
ACGGGUGAGUAACACGUAUGCAAUCCACCUGUAACAGGGGGAUAGCCCGGAGAAAUCCGGACUAAUACCCCAUAAUAUGGGCGCUCCGCAUGGAGAGCCCAUUAAAGAGAGCAAUUUUGGUUACAGACGAGCAUGCGCUCCAUUAGCCAGUUGGCGGGGUAACGGCCCACCAAAGCGACGAUGGAUAGGGGUUCUGAGAGGAAGGUCCCCCACAUUGGAACUGAGACACGGUCCAA